GCUAAUCGAUUAAUUUUAUAUUUACUUUUUGCCCAACAAAAAUGGGGACAAUAGUAGUAACUGUAACAGCUAAAAUUUCACCCCUGAAAAUAAUAAUUAAGACAAGAAAUAUAGCAAUAAAAAAGUAUUUAUAAUUUUAAUAAUUUAUGUGGGUUCUAACCUUUGAACAAUCUUAAGUUUAAAAGAUGUAAUCCCCUGAUUCUUCUCCUCAUGACCGUCAAUUCGAGAGCUUCGCUUGUUCUUGAAUUGAUGGACCGCUUAUUGUUGGGAUUUGACCACGAAUGUGGAGCUAGGGAUCACAAGCGUGGAAGAUGGAAAACUUGUGGCUCAUCCCUUGGAGAUGUGCUAUGCGAAAGACUUGCGAAUCACCACUGUGGAGGAGAGCUUCAAU
Molecule: long non-coding RNA, 391 nt
Filed under: Nicotiana benthamiana
Lineage: Eukaryota; Viridiplantae; Streptophyta; Magnoliopsida; Solanales; Solanaceae
Description: long non-coding RNA (NBEN_LNC036124)
Source: RNAcentral